CUUCCCGCAGUGGAUACAAAGAUCACUUUAAGAGAGGAAACAAAAGAUCCUGCAUAAAACUAUGAGCAAAUGCCCAUCCAAGGAGGCUUCGCUGGUUUUUCUUUACGUAUUAAAUUCUUUAUGUACUACACAAGGACAAGCUCUCACUUACAUAAAAACAUAAAAUAACAGCAAAACAUAGCUGUGAAGAUGAGACAGCAGAAUGAUGUGGAAACUAAAUUCCUUUCAGAACAUACUGGAACAACAAGAUAAACUUAAGAACUGAAACAUUUAAAAUAUAAAUUGUAGGGGGUAGCCUGUUUUCGAAAAUCAUGGAAAGCCUACAAAUCAUAGAUCCCUGGAAAGAGUUCUUUAGGUCUAAGUCGAAUCUUUUAUAGAUAUUCCUAGUGAAUUUUGUGAGUAUGUAAUCUCAAAGUAAGUAACUCUGACAACUCAGGUACAUGGGCAGAACACAAGAUCACUGUCAGCUGCCAGCUCACUCAAGCUCAACAGCCCCUUGUCAAGAAUUAAGGGACCAUGAUCAUGGUCCAAAAGAGGUACAGGAAUGUUACAUAAAGCAGCUGGACUCCUAAAAAGACGCGAGUUCCUGUUUGAAUACAUGCUACUGCCUGAAACCAUAAAAAAUAACAUAAAUUGGAGAAAUCAUCUUUUUUGAAAUAACUCUUUUUAAUUCAUUCAUUUAUUUGAUAUAUACAUAUGAAUAUACAGGAACUUUAGUCAUCGUUAUGGUACAUGUCACAGGGUUUGCAAAUAAAAAUAAGUAUUAAAAAUUCAUCUAUUAUGUGACUCGCUUUGUCAAUCAGUAAAUGUUUGUCACUUUAAAAAGGCCUCAUUGUCUUUUGAGACGCUAAGUGAGUCAAAAGUAAAACUAAAUAUGUAGCCUCGUUUUUUAUCUAAAUUUUAUAAUUACACAUUUGAUGAAAUUUUCCCUACCUCUUCUAAAGGAGUAAAUUCACUCUUAAACAACUAAAGAGGGUCAAAGAGAUACAGCACCUCUAGCUGUCUACUAGGAGCAAGAAUGUAGCUUUUCCAAAGGUUUAUAUUCUACACCAUUGUCAAGAAGUCAGAUUACUUUUGAAUGCUGUUACAGCCUAUGGCAGGCAAGAGAAUGUGCUGCUUUAACAGCUAAAGCAUGCAUGACAUCA
Molecule: long non-coding RNA, 1145 nt
Filed under: Bemisia tabaci
Lineage: Eukaryota; Metazoa; Arthropoda; Insecta; Hemiptera; Aleyrodidae
Description: lncRNA ENSSSA2NGG000759
Source: RNAcentral